Molecule: ribosomal RNA, 253 nt
Filed under: uncultured bacterium
Lineage: Bacteria
Description: partial 16S ribosomal RNA
Rfam family: Bacterial small subunit ribosomal RNA
Source: RNAcentral
UACGAAGGGGGCUAGCGUUGCUCGGAAUCACUGGGCGUAAAGCGCACGUAGGCGGAUUGCUAAGUCAGGGGUGAAAUCCUGGAGCUCAACUCCAGAACUGCCUUUGAUACUGGUGAUCUUGAGUCCGGGAGAGGUGAGUGGAACUGCGAGUGUAGAGAUGAAAUUCGUAGAUAUUCGCAAGAACACCAGUGGCGAAGGCGGCUCACUGGACCGGUACUGACGCUGAUGCGCGAAAGCGUGGGGAGCAAACAGG